Molecule: ribosomal RNA, 250 nt
Filed under: uncultured bacterium
Lineage: Bacteria
Description: partial 16S ribosomal RNA
Rfam family: Bacterial small subunit ribosomal RNA
Source: RNAcentral
UACAGAGGUCCCAAGCGUUGUUCGGAUUCACUGGGCGUAAAGGGUGCGUAGGUGGUGGGGUAAGUUUGAUGUGAAAUCUCCGAGCUUAACUCGGAAAAUGCAUUGAAUACUAUUCCGCUGGAGGAUUGGAGGGGGGACUGGAAUUCUCGGUGUAGCAGUGAAAUGCGUAGAUAUCGAGAGGAACACCGGUGGCGAAGGCGAGUCCCUGGACAAUACCUGACACUGAGGCACGAAAGCUAGGGGAGCAAAC